RNAcentral lists this ribosomal RNA (463 nucleotides) under uncultured bacterium. RNAcentral describes it as "bacterial SSU rRNA". It matches the Rfam family "Bacterial small subunit ribosomal RNA", at positions 29 to 506 of the family's 1533-position model. The record is from RNAcentral.
ACGAACGCUGGCGGCGUGCUUAACACAUGCAAGUCGAGCGGAAAGGCCCUUUCGGGGGUACUCGAGCGGCGAACGGGUGAGUAACACGUGAGUAAUCUGCCCUGCGCUCUGGGAUAGCCACCGGAAACGGUGAUUAAUACCGGAUAGGACCACUUCACGCAUGUGAUGGUGGUGGAAAGUUUUUUCGGCGCAGGAUGUGCUCGCGGCCUAUCAGCUUGUUGGUGAGGUAACGGCUCACCAAGGCUUUGACGGGUAACCGGCCUGGGAGGGUGACCGGUCACACUGGGACUGAGACACGGCCCAGACUCCUACGGGAGGCAGCAGUGGGGAAUAUUGGACAAUGGGCGGAAGCCUGAUCCAGCAACGCCGCGUGAGGGAUGACGGCCUUCGGGUUGUAAACCUCUUUCAGUACCGACGAAGCGAAAGUGACGGUAGGUACAGAAGAAGGACCGGCCAACUACGU